Molecule: long non-coding RNA, 436 nt
Filed under: Helianthus annuus (common sunflower)
Lineage: Eukaryota; Viridiplantae; Streptophyta; Magnoliopsida; Asterales; Asteraceae
Description: sRNA HanXRQr2_Chr08g0338291
Source: RNAcentral
GUUUGGUCGAUCUUUCCAGGAAAACAAAAGGGGGAUUCCUCCAAAACCCUAAAACUCACAAAUCAUCAAAAAUCAAAGAAGAAUUUGAACAAAAAUCAGUGCUAAAGCUAAUUUCAUGAUCAACCACGUUAGAAGAUCACAAGGCAAAGCGGGUGAAGCGUCGAGUGGUCAAGUUGGAACGGACGCGCCCUUGAAGGAUAAGCUAUAAGUUUUGUUUAUAGGUGAUCAGUUUGAACUUUUGGAUGGCGAUCAAGUUUGCAAAAAGAACCGAAUACACAUUAAAAUGAAGCUUCCACGCUAUCAUAGUUUCUUUUGAUGUUACGAAUUGUGUAAACACUUUUAACUAUGUUUGAAUGUUUUAAACUUUAAAUGAACAUCGCUAUGUAAAUGUUUUGUAAAACGGCAUUUUUUUCGUAAAAUGCAAACUUUGAAUGAU